Rhododendron vialii is the source of this 1049-nucleotide long non-coding RNA. RefSeq lists it as uncharacterized. Lineage: Eukaryota; Viridiplantae; Streptophyta; Magnoliopsida; Ericales; Ericaceae. The transcript is spliced from 5 exons. The record is from RefSeq and is a predicted model, not a curated record.
GAGCUGAUCAUCUGAACAAUUUCUGGCUCUAUUUCUCUCUCUCUCGAUUACUCUCUCGAUUGAUUUCCAGAGCUGACUCUCACUCUCUCUUUGAAAAUCCUAGGGAUUUGUUUGGAAACCAGAGAAGAUAACACACACGACCGACGAUGACGAUUACCCAUGACAAUGAAGGACAACAAAGACUCUUGACAAAUAAGGAAUACACUCCGUAACUUUCCCAAAAUCGAUCGACCGUUCGCAUCGGAGAAGAAACGACUACGCUAGAGAAGAGAUGACUACUCACAUCGGAGAAACUCAACAGCUGGUUGAUCUCCGCCUGGAACGGAAACGUCUCUGUAUGGGCCAUUCUCUCUCUACUGUUCUUUAGAAAUCGAGUUUUUCAAAACCUAGAGACAAGACGUAUCAGGUCACAAUCAGUUUUUGAAAAUCGAGUUCUUUCUCCGUCAACUCAUCGGCAACUCGUACAGUUAAGGUUUUUGUGUGCCUUCGUAUGGCGUAGGUUUUUGGGGAUUACCUUUUGGGUGACUUGAAGAGGAAAAAUCCGUCGCGGUGCUGUACGACAGUCACGUCACAGGGAGGAAGAAAAUUUACCUUUUGGUGGAUUCGAAGCUGAAAAAUUCAUCGCAGCAUCUCUAAAUUCCACAUUGUGCGAACUUUUGCAAGCCCUGCUGCACUGACAGUUACAAUGAUGAAGAAAACGCUGGCAAAAAGACACGAACACGGAUUUUAGGAAAGCUCAAAUAAUGAGAGUUAAACCCCAACACCAGUGAUUCUGCCAGAAACUGAGGUGAAUGAGGAAAGAGUUGCACCGAUUAAGGUUAGAGUGCCUCAAAUGUCAAGAGCAAGAGUACGAUCUUAGAGAGAGAUUAGCAACAAACAUGCAAUAAUCCCGAUCACAACUAGUAAAUAAAAAAAAGAAAAGAAAAAUGGGUAGAAAAGAGCCUGAAGAACAAGCAGAGGUAGAUAAAGAACACACACAAGCAGAACAAACACAACCAACGGGCUCUAACCGGUGCAAUUUGCAGUCUAUAUGUAGAGUACUCAAGGAU